AUACGGAGGAUCCGAGCGUUAUCCGGAUUUAUUGGGUUUAAAGGGAGCGUAGGCGGACUAUUAAGUCAGCUGUGAAAGUUUGCGGCUCAACCGUAAAAUUGCAGUUGAUACUGGUCGUCUUGAGUGCGGUAGAGGUAGGCGGAAUUCGUGGUGUAGCGGUGAAAUGCUUAGAUAUCACGAAGAACUCCGAUUGCGAAGGCAGCUUACUGGACUGUAACUGACGCUGAUGCUCGAAAGUGUGGGUAUCAAACAGGAUUAGAUACCCUGGUAGUCCACACAGUAAACGAUGAAUACUCGCUGUUUGCGAUAUACGGCAAGCGGCCAAGCGAAAGCAUUAAGUAUUCCACCUGGGGAGUACGCCGGCAACGGUGAAACUCAAAGGAAUUGACGGGG
Molecule: ribosomal RNA, 393 nt
Filed under: uncultured bacterium
Lineage: Bacteria
Description: partial 16S ribosomal RNA
Rfam family: Bacterial small subunit ribosomal RNA
Source: RNAcentral